UUGAACGCAAUGAACAAGAUGAGUAACAGAAGGAUUUGAAUGUAGAGAUUAUGCGGUUGGUGAAAGCAUAACAAACACUCUGUGAAGCUACUUGGGAGCGGUGGUUUGUUGGCCUUAACAACACAAAUAAAGGGCUAGUGAAAACUAGAACUAAGGUGGUACCGCGGAAUGAUUCGUCCUUAGA
The sequence is a regulatory RNA element, 184 nucleotides long. It matches the Rfam family "T-box leader". From Rfam's summary of the family: Uncharged tRNA acts as the effector for transcription antitermination of genes in the T-box leader family. The record is from Rfam.